Molecule: ribosomal RNA, 432 nt
Filed under: uncultured bacterium
Lineage: Bacteria
Description: bacterial SSU rRNA
Rfam family: Bacterial small subunit ribosomal RNA
Source: RNAcentral
CCUACGGGUGGCAGCAGUGGGGAAUAUUGCACAAUGGGGGAAACCCUGAUGCAGCGACGCCGCGUGAGUGAAGAAGUAUUUCGGUAUGUAAAGCUCUGUCAGCAGGGAAGAAGAAAGACGGUACCUGACCAAGAAGCCCCGGCUAACUACGUGCCAGCAGCCGCGGUAAUACGUAGGGGGCAAGCGUUAUCCGGAAUCACUGGGUGUAAAGGGAGCGUAGACGGCUGUGCAAGCCUGGAGUGAAAGGCGGGGGCCCAACCCCCGGACUGCUCUGGGAACUGUAUGGCUGGAGUGCAGGAGAGGUAAGUGGAAUUCCUGGUGUAGCGGUGAAAUGCGUAGAUAUCAGGAGGAACACCAGUGGCGAAGGCGGCUUACUGGACUGUAACUGACGUUGAGGCUCGAAAGCGUGGGGAGCAAACAGGAUUAGAUACC